AACGGCCGUACCAUGCUGAAUAUACCGGUUCUCGUUAGAUCACCGAAGUCAAGCAUCAUUGGGCGCGGUCAGUACUUGGGUGGGUGACCAUCUGGGAACACCGCGUGCCGUU
Caerostris darwini is the source of this 112-nucleotide non-coding RNA. The record is from the annotation of a GenBank genome assembly. Lineage: Eukaryota; Metazoa; Arthropoda; Arachnida; Araneae; Araneidae.